AAUCCUUGCGGCCGAAUAUCCAAGGUUUCCAGAGUAAAGCUGAUCUGCUCUGGGUAAGUCGGGGCCUAAGGAGAGGCAGAGAUGCGUAUCCGAUGGACAGCAGGUUUAAGAUUCCUGCACCCCUUGUUAUCAGAACUGCGGGGACACGGGAAGGGAAGCAGAGCCGGGAAUGGAAAGCCCGGUGCAAGCGAAGGAGUCGCAGGGUUGGAAAAUCCGCCCUGCAUGAGACGAAGGCGUGAUGCGGAGCGAAAUGAAGUAGUGAAGCUGCGGCCCCUUCCUGUCGAGAAAAGCCGCUAUCGUGUAGCAAGGGCCCGUACCGUAAACCGACACAGGUGGAUGAGGAGAGGAUCCUAAGGCCGGCGGGAGAAGUGUUGUUAAGGAACUCGGCAAAAUGACUCCGUAACUUCGGGAGAAGGAGUGCUGCGCAAGCAGCCGCAGAGAAAUGGCCCAAGCAACUGUUUAGCAAAAACACAGGUCUAUGCGAAACCGAAGGUGAGGUAUAUGGGCUGACGCCUGCCCGGUGCUGGAAGGUUAAGGGGAGAGCUUAGCGCGAGCGAAGGUUUGAACUUAAGCCCCAGUAAACGGCGGCCGUAACUAUAACGGUCCUAAGGUAGCGAAAUUCCUUGUCGGGUAAGUUCCGACCCGCACGAAAGGCGUAAUGAUUUGGGCACUGUCUCAACAACACACCCGGUGAAAUUGAAAUACCAGUGAAGAUGCUGGUUACCCGCGCCAGGACGGAAAGACCCCAUGGAGCUUUACUCCAGCCUGAUACUGGGAUUCGGUAUUGCAUGUACAGGAUAGGUGGGAGGCUAAGAACUCAUGGCGCCAGCCGUGAGGGAGCCGAUGUUGGGAUACCACCCCUGCAGUACUGGGUUUCUAACCUGCGCCCGUGACCCGGGCGGGGGACAAUGUCAGGCGGGGAGUUUGACUGGGGCGGUCGCCUCCGAAAGGGUAUCGGAGGCGCUCAAAGGUCUCCUCAGGAUGGUUGGAAACCAUCCAGAGAGUGCAAAGGCAGAAGGAGGCUUGACUGCGACACCGACGGGUGGAGCAGGUACGAAAGUAGGACUUAGUGAUCCGGUGGCAUAAAGUGGGAUUGCCAUCGCUCAACGGAUAAAAGCUACCCUGGGGAUAACAGGCUUAUCACUCCCAAGAGUUCACAUCGACGGAGUGGUUUGGCACCUCGAUGUCGGCUCAUCGCAUCCUGGAGCUGGAGCAGGUUCCAAGGGUUGGGCUGUUCGCCCAUUAAAGCGGUACGCGAGCUGGGUUCAGAACGUCGUGAGACAGUUCGGUCCCUAUCCGGCGCGGGCGCAGGAUAUCUGAGAGGAGCUGUCCUUAGUACGAGAGGACCGGGAUGGACCGUCCGCUGGUGGACCGGUUGUCAUGCCAAUGGCACGGCCGGGUAGCCAAGACGGGAAGGGAUAAACGCUGAAGGCAUCUAAGCGUGAAGCCCCCCUCAAGAUGAGAUAUCCAUACUCGAAAGAGUGAGAGACCCCUUAGAGACGAUGAGGUAGAUAGGGCAGAGAUGGAAGCACAGCGAUGUGUGGAGUUGACUGUUACUAAUCGGUCGAAAGCUUGACCUU
RNAcentral lists this ribosomal RNA (1580 nucleotides) under Anaerobutyricum hallii DSM 3353. Its description in RNAcentral is "bacterial LSU rRNA". It matches the Rfam family "Bacterial large subunit ribosomal RNA", at positions 1326 to 2925 of the family's 2925-position model. The record is from RNAcentral. Lineage: Bacteria; Bacillati; Bacillota; Clostridia; Lachnospirales; Lachnospiraceae.